UGCGGAAGGAUCAUUACCGAGAGGAGGACUUCGCGUCCCCGGGGGGCUUCGGCCCCCGCUCUUCACCCUGUGCGUACCUACCGUUGUUGCUUCGGCGCGCGGUCCGCGUCACCGGCCCCGGGGUACUCAACCCGGGUGUCGCGCCCGCGGCCCCGCCGGAGGCCCCCAAACCCCGUCAUCAGUGUCGUCCGAGGAGAAAUCCAACAACUAAAACUUUCAACAACGGAUCUCUUGGUUCUGGCAUCGAUGAAGAACGCAGCGAAAUGCGAUAAUUAAUGUGAAUUGCAGAAUUCAGUGAAUCAUCGAAUCUUUGAACGCACAUUGCGCCCCUUGGUAUUCCGAGGGGCAUGCCUGUUCGAGCGUCAUUGCAACCCUCAAGCACCGCUUGGUACUGGGCUUCGUCCGCAGGGGCGUGCCCGAAAGACAGUGGCGGUCCGGCCGGGACCCCGAGCGCAGUAGAUUACCUUUCGCUCCGGGCGCGCUCCCGCCGCGGCCAGCCAGCCAACACCCCCCCCGAUUUUCAAUGGUUGACCUCGGAUCAGG
RNAcentral lists this ribosomal RNA (543 nucleotides) under Porpidia crustulata. RNAcentral's name for it is "eukaryotic LSU rRNA". The stretch from base 212 to 365 matches the Rfam family "5.8S ribosomal RNA". The record is from RNAcentral. Lineage: Eukaryota; Fungi; Ascomycota; Lecanoromycetes; Lecideales; Lecideaceae.